GAUGAACGCUGGCGGCGUGCCUAAUACAUGCAAGUCGAGCGAACAGACGAGGAGCUUGCUCCUCUGACGUUAGCGGCGGACGGGUGAGUAACACGUGGAUAACCUACCUAUAAGACUGGACAACUUCGGGAAACCGGAGCUAAUACCGGAUAAUAUAUUGAACCGCAUGGUUCAAUAGUGAAAGACGGUUUUGCUGUCACUUAUAGAUGGAUCCGCGCCGCAUUAGCUAGUUGGUAAGGUAACGGCUUACCAAGGCAACGAUGCGUAGCCGACCUGAGAGGGUGAUCGGCCACACUGGAACUGAGACACGGUCCAGACUCCUACGGGAGGCAGCAGUAGGGAAUCUUCCGCAAUGGGCGAAAGCCUGACGGAGCAACGCCGCGUGAGUGAUGAAGGUCUUCGGAUCGUAAAACUCUGUUAUUAGGGAAGAACAAAUGUGUAAGUAACUAUGCACGUCUUGACGGUACCUAAUCAGAAAGCCACGGCUAACUACGUG
RNAcentral lists this ribosomal RNA (496 nucleotides) under uncultured bacterium. RNAcentral describes it as "partial 16S ribosomal RNA". It matches the Rfam family "Bacterial small subunit ribosomal RNA", at positions 28 to 507 of the family's 1533-position model. The record is from RNAcentral.